RNAcentral lists this ribosomal RNA (884 nucleotides) under uncultured organism. RNAcentral's name for it is "bacterial SSU rRNA". It matches the Rfam family "Bacterial small subunit ribosomal RNA", at positions 17 to 948 of the family's 1533-position model. The record is from RNAcentral.
UCCUGGCUCAGAACGAACGCUGGCGGCAGGCCUAACACAUGCAAGUCGAGCGAGGACUUCGGUUCUAGCGGCGGACGGGUGAGUAGCGCGUGGGAACGUGCCCUUCACUACGGAAUAGUCCCGGGAAACUGGGUUUAAUACCGUAUACGCCCUUCGGGGGAAAGAACUUCGGUGAAGGAUCGGCCCGCGUCUGAUUAGGUAGUUGGUGGGGUAACGGCCUACCAAGCCUACGAUCAGUAGCUGGUUUGAGAAGAUGAUCAGCCACACUGGGACUGAGACACGGCCCAGACUCCUACGGGAGGCAGCAGUGGGGAAUCUUAGACAAUGGGGGCAACCCUGAUCUAGCCAUGCCGCGUGAGUGACGAAGGCCCUAGGGUCGUAAGGCUCUUUCACCAGGGAAGAUAAUGACGGUACCUGGAGAAGAAACCCCGGCUAACUCCGUGCCAGCAGCCGCGGUAAUACGGAGGGGGUUAGCGUUGUUCGGAAUUACUGGGCGUAAAGCGCGCGUAGGCGGACUGUUAAGUCAGGGGUGAAAUCCCGGGGCUCAACCCCGGAACUGCCCUUGAUACUGGCAGUCUCGAGUUCGAGAGAGGUGAGUGGAACUCCGAGUGUAGAGGUGAAAUUCGUAGAUAUUCGGAAGAACACCAGUGGCGAAGGCGGCUCACUGGCUCGAUACUGACGCUGAGGUGCGAAAGUGUGGGGAGCAAACAGGAUUAGAUACCCUGGUAGUCCACACCGUAAACGAUGAAUGCCAGACGUCGGGCAGCAUGCUGUUCGGUGUCACACCUAACGGAUUAAGCAUUCCGCCUGGGGAGUACGGCCGCAAGGCUUAAACUCAAAGGAAUUGACGGGGGCCCGCACAAAGCGGUGGAGCAUGUGGUUUA